GACAACGCUGGCGGCGUGCCUAACACAUGCAAGUCGAGCGGAGAUAUAUGGAAGGUUUACCGGAAAUAUAUCUUAGCGGCGGACGGGUGAGUAACGCGUGGGCAACCCGCCUCAUACAGGGGGAUAACACAGGGAAACUUGUGCUAAUACCGCAUGAAAUCAUAGUAUGGCAUCAUACAAUGAUCAAAGGAGCAAUCCGGUAUGAGAUGGGCCCGCGUCCGAUUAGCUAGUUGGUGAGGUAACGGCUCACCAAGGCGACGAUCGGUAGCCGAACUGAGAGGUUGAUCGGCCACAUUGGGACUGAGACACGGCCCAGACUCCUACGGGAGGCAGCAGUGGGGAAUAUUGCGCAAUGGGGGAAACCCUGACGCAGCAACGCCGCGUGAAGGAAGAAGGCCUUCGGGUUGUAAACUUCUUUGAUAGGGGACGAUAAUGACGGUACCCUAAAAACAAGCCACGGCUAACUACGUG
Molecule: ribosomal RNA, 471 nt
Filed under: uncultured bacterium
Lineage: Bacteria
Description: bacterial SSU rRNA
Rfam family: Bacterial small subunit ribosomal RNA
Source: RNAcentral